Long non-coding RNA from Cavia porcellus (domestic guinea pig), 996 nucleotides. RefSeq lists it as uncharacterized. The record is from RefSeq and is a predicted model, not a curated record. Lineage: Eukaryota; Metazoa; Chordata; Mammalia; Rodentia; Caviidae. The transcript has 3 exons.
CUGAACGUGUGUGUGCGCAUGUGCGUGUAAGUGUAUAACGUAACUGGCAUGGGGUGGGACUUCCCCUCCCGCAGAGCGUGGUGCCCCUGACAUAGGAAACCCCCCUCCGCAGCUACCAGUGCUGGUGCUGGGGCUGGGCAGUGGGUGACAGUUGCCCUGCAACCGGGCUCAGCAGUGACGCUGGAGCCCCUGUCCCUCCCCAGAAUUCCCGGCUCUUGGGGAUCACCUGGCAUGGCCUGCAGCCCCUCUGCGGCUUGCCCGGUCUGAGGUGGAGGGGCCUCGCCCUUGGGGCAGGAGGAGAGGAGGCAGGUGGCUGAUAAGGAGACCCAUUUUGGGCCACACCCUUUAAGACCUUUGCUUUCCUCCUGGCAAAGUCCUGGCCUCCGGGAUACAGGGUAUCACUGGGACCAAGGAAAGGACAUAGAAGCAAGACCCGUACUAGGCUCAGAGAGGAACAGAGGCCGUGGGCAACGUAGGGUCAAGCAUUUGCUCCCUUGGUGUCCCCUGCCUCUGUCCAGCACUCCAAAAAAAGGCCUCCCCGCCAUGACCAGAACCACCCAGAGGCUUGGUGCUGCACACGGAAUAAGGGCAGACACCUAGAUGCUGCCAGAGUCCACCCUGUGGCCCCGUAACUGGUGACCUUGUGCAAGUCUUUUCCUCUCCCUGCAAGGAUGGGACUCUCAGGGAAGGAUCUCAGGGAGUACCUGGGGAGGACUGAGCACCAGCACUGGGCUUGACAUUCAGGGAGUGCUUAACCAAUAGCAGAUUCUGCCAUCAUUCUCAUGUCCUGCUGAAGGUACUCUUCUGGCGGCUACCUUGACCAUCCAUGCAACACAGGCCCCGCCCCCAAGUGGCUCAGAGUGCAGAGAUGCAGAGGCAGCUGUGGGAGACCGUGGUUAAGCCAGGAGAAUCAAGGAUCAAAAGUUUGAGCCCAGUCUGCGCAAUUUACCAACUUAGUGUAAAACUUUGUCCAAAUAAAAUAAAAAUUUAAAAGAG